Non-coding RNA from Streptomyces sp. WAC00263, 129 nucleotides. The record is from Rfam. NCBI's taxonomy places the organism in Bacteria, Bacillati, Actinomycetota, Actinomycetes, Kitasatosporales, Streptomycetaceae.
AUUCAUCUUCGGGGUCGGGUGCAAUUCCCAACCGGCAGUAAAUUAAGCCUGCGACGUAAAAUGUUUCAUUUUACCUGAUUCAGUGAAAUUCUGAAGCCGACAGUAUAGUCUGGAUGGGAGAAGAUGGAG